This 502-nucleotide unclassified non-coding RNA is filed under the name Zea mays. Its description in RNAcentral is "misc RNA Zm00001eb160110". The record is from RNAcentral. Lineage: Eukaryota; Viridiplantae; Streptophyta; Magnoliopsida; Poales; Poaceae.
GGAAACUGGAACUGGGCGGUCAAUGACUUGGAAAGCAAUUCCAGAUUCUUUCUAUCACACAUGGCAGGCACAGACACGCACACACACACUCCCCCCUCUGCCUCUGCCUCUGCCUCUCCCUCCCUCUCUCUCUCUCUCCCUUCCUCUCUAUGGUGUGCAGUGCAGUCGAGCAGCGCCAGCAGCUGAAGGCCAACAGCUGUCGUAUCUUUCUAGAGCUGGCACAGCAGCCGCCCAGCGAGGCUAGAGGGAGGCCACAGCAGUCAUGGCCGCCCGCCGGGGAGGAGAGGACGGACACACGGGGAAAGAGCAGGAGGAGGUGGGUGGGGGGAGGAGGAGGAGGAGGAGGGAAGAGGAACAGUGUCAGAGCGAAGGGGAAGAAGGCCAGUACGUGGCACCAAAGCCGACCCGAGCUUUAUCUAUCCGCUGCUCGCUUUCAGGGGAGAACCGGAGAAGGGAAAAGAGAGCGAGCCAGGAUCCCAAAGACGCCAAAGGCUGAGCAUUC